RNAcentral lists this unclassified non-coding RNA (1103 nucleotides) under Hevea brasiliensis (rubber tree). Lineage: Eukaryota; Viridiplantae; Streptophyta; Magnoliopsida; Malpighiales; Euphorbiaceae. The record is from RNAcentral.
AUUUAAUUUUAAAAUUUUAAAUACUUGUAAACUCAAAUUAGCUUAUAAACACUAAAUACUUAUAAAUUUUUCAUAAACUAAGCUAAAUACCCACUUACACUAUAAAAUUUGGCAAAUUUGCACGACACAAUGCAAAGAUAAAUAUCUGCAUCUCAAGAAUAGAAAUAUAACGAUACAAAAUCACCUCAUCUCACCACAAUGAUUGAACAUAAUAUAAAACCUAACACUAAAGCUAAGUGGACUCUAGCAGCAACUCAGCUAUCUGGAUGGCAUUAAGUGCAGCCCCCUUGCAUAUUUGACUUCCAUAGACAAAGAUAUCCAACCUACUUGGAAUUCCAAAAUUACUAAAAUGAGUAAUGUAGUUUUUUUAGAGAUACACAAUUAUUUAGUACAAAAAUAUAUAUAUAAACCAUUAAGAAUUUUUACCCCUAAUUCCCUUCUUGAGACACAUCUCAGCGGAUUCUACCAAUUGCAACAUCUUUUUUGUUUGAUACCUCUAAUGGGGCUAAUUAUUAGAUACACUGGGAGCACUAAAAAAUAGUAGUCCCUCACUCAUAGAAAAGUGAGUCUUUCUUGUAAUAUAGAAAGUAAGUCCCACAUAAUUGUGAAAGAUAAUACAUGUGCACCAGGUAUACCUAAUAAUUUCUCCUCUGAUGGUGCAGGGAAGUGAUUGGAUGCAGUCAUCAAUAACCACCACCCACGAGGCAUUCUUCAAAAUAUCCAUUGUUGUGUCCUUUAAUUACUCAUUGAUCCUUAGCAAUUCCAUUUUGUCCCUCAUCAAGGGGCUUCUCAAAUUGAAGAUUCACACUUUUGGCAUGCGCUCGCUUUGCAGGAACUGGUAUACAUGUUGCAGUAACUUGAACAUUCAUGUCAUUCCAAAUUUUACGGGUUCCUUUUACUAAUGUCAUUUCCUCUUCAUUGUAUCCAUUUGAUAGGACUGGUGCAUUGUGUGAAAAUAAAUUAAAAGCAUACUGUUGCUUAAAGAUUUUGCACGUGGGUGGUUUUCCUUCCAAGACCUCACGAGUCUGCAGCUCCAGCUCCUCCAUUGCGGCAGCACCAGCACCACUGGCUGCCUGAUAAGUACUAACAACCAUGCGUUGCAC